UACGUAGGGUGCAAGCGUUGUCCGGAUUUAUUGGGCGUAAAGAGCUCGUAGGCGGUUUAGAAAGUCAGGUGUGAAACCUCCAGGCUCAACCUGGAGACGCCACUUGAUACUUCUAUGACUUGAGUUCGGUAGGGGUAAGCGGAAUUCCUGGUGUAGCGGUGAAAUGCGCAGAUAUCAGGAGGAACACCGAUGGCGAAGGCAGCUUACUGGGCCGAUACUGACGCUGAGGAGCGAAAGCGUGGGGAGCGAACAGG
RNAcentral lists this ribosomal RNA (254 nucleotides) under uncultured bacterium. RNAcentral describes it as "partial 16S ribosomal RNA". It matches the Rfam family "Bacterial small subunit ribosomal RNA", at positions 524 to 776 of the family's 1533-position model. The record is from RNAcentral.